AACGAACGCUGGCGGCAUGCCUAACACAUGCAAGUCGAACGAGACCUUCGGGUCUAGUGGCGCACGGGUGCGUAACGCGUGGGAACCUGCCUUUAGGUUCGGAAUAACUCAGAGAAAUUUGAGCUAAUACCGGAUGAUGUCUUCGGACCAAAGAUUUAUCGCCUUUAGAUGGGCCCGCGUUGGAUUAGCUAGUUGGUGGGGUAAAGGCCUACCAAGGCGACGAUCCAUAGCUGGUCUGAGGGGAUGAUCAGCCACACUGGGACUGAGACACGGCCCAGACUCCUACGGGAGGCAGCAGUGGGGAAUAUUGGACAAUGGGCGAAAGCCUGAUCCAGCAAUGCCGCGUGAGUGAUGAAGGCCUUAGGGUUGUAAAGCUCUUUUACCCGAGAUGAUAAUGACAGUAUCGGGAGAAUAAGCGCCGGCUAACUCCGUG
RNAcentral lists this ribosomal RNA (433 nucleotides) under uncultured bacterium. RNAcentral's name for it is "partial 16S ribosomal RNA". It matches the Rfam family "Bacterial small subunit ribosomal RNA", at positions 29 to 507 of the family's 1533-position model. The record is from RNAcentral.